AGGAUGAACGCUGGCGGUCUGCUUAACACAUGCAAGUCGAACGGAGUACCUCGGUACUUAGUGGCGGACGGGUGAGUAACGCGUGAGAAUCUGCCCUUAGGUCGGGGACAACCAUUGGAAACGAUGGCUAAUACCGGAUAAGCCGAGAGGUAAAAGAUUAAUUGCCUAGGGAAGAGCUCGCGUCUGAUUAGCUAGUUGGUGAGGUAAAGGCUCACCAAGGCAUCGAUCAGUAGCUGGUCUGAGAGGAUGAUCAGCCACACUGGGACUGAGACACGGCCCAGACUCCUACGGGAGGCAGCAGUGGGGAAUUUUCCGCAAUGGGCGAAAGCCUGACGGAGCAAGACCGCGUGAGGGAGGAAGGCUCUUGGGUUGUAAACCUCUUUUCUUGGGGAAGAACAAAAUGACGGUAUCCAAGGAAUCAGCAUCGGCUAACUCCGUGCCAGCAGCCGC
This 450-nucleotide ribosomal RNA is filed under the name uncultured bacterium. RNAcentral's name for it is "SSU rRNA". It matches the Rfam family "Bacterial small subunit ribosomal RNA", at positions 26 to 518 of the family's 1533-position model. The record is from RNAcentral.